This 430-nucleotide ribosomal RNA is filed under the name bacterium. Its description in RNAcentral is "partial 16S ribosomal RNA". It matches the Rfam family "Bacterial small subunit ribosomal RNA", at positions 355 to 776 of the family's 1533-position model. The record is from RNAcentral.
UGGGGAAUAUUGGACAAUGGGGGGAACCCUGAUCCAGCCAUGCCGCGUGUGUGAAGAAGGCCUUAUGGUUGUAAAGCACUUUAAGCGAGGAGGAGGCUCUCUUGGUUAAUACCCAAGAAGAGUGGACGUUACUCGCAGAAUAAGCACCGGCUAACUCUGUGCCAGCAGCCGCGGAAAUACAGAGGGUGCGAGCGUUAAUCGGAUUUACUGGGCGUAAAGCGUGCGUAGGCGGCUUUUUAAGUCGGAUGUGAAAUCCCCGAGCUUAACUUGGGAAUUGCAUUCGAUACUGGGAAGCUAGAGUAUGGGAGAGGAUGGUAGAAUUCCAGGUGUAGCGGUGAAAUGCGUAGAGAUCUGGAGGAAUACCGAUGGCGAAGGGAGCCAUCUGGCCUAAUACUGACGCUGAGGUACGAAAGCAUGGGGAGCAAACAGG